AGAAAGAUGGAAUCAUCCCUUGGAAAGUUUGUGGCAGGAAAUUAAGUCAAUUUUCCUCUGGGUGCUUCACGAUCACCACUGGACAUUUUACAUGCUUGGCACAGUGGUCGCUCACACUUCCAAGGAUAGCUCUUUUCAAGAAACCAUAACCAUGGCUUCCCAUAACAAGGAUGUCAGCGUCAAGUUUCUCUACUGUAUUACAUAUCACAUCCUUUGCCUCUCCUCUCCCAACUACUCUUUCUACUUUUACAUUGAAGUUCCUGUAUACAGCUUCUGCUCGUUGCAUCACGGAGUUCACCAAAUCCUUGCCAUAUUUUUCCAUGGUAGAAAUCGCAUCACCAGAAAACAUGUACCCUGCAGCGUCAAAGGGAGAGUAGAUAGGAGGUGGGGGCCUAACGUAAAGGAGGACUAGAGUGCUAUUAGAAGUGGGAGAGACAAGGUUAGAGAGACACCAAAAGAGAGCAUGCAUGCUCUCCCUGCUCUCAUCCACUGCCACCACUAUCUUUUGGCCUGUCUUGGUGUUCCCUCCUUCCAUUUUUGACACCUUGACAAUUUAUGUGCCUUUUUUGUGUAAAGGCUGCUGCCUGUUGUUGCGAUAUACGGACGCAAGAAAUUUC
RNAcentral lists this unclassified non-coding RNA (617 nucleotides) under Hevea brasiliensis (rubber tree). Lineage: Eukaryota; Viridiplantae; Streptophyta; Magnoliopsida; Malpighiales; Euphorbiaceae. The record is from RNAcentral.